UCCUGAUAAUUUUCACUCUCUUAUCUUGCUCUUUUAGGGCAUCACGUAUGACCACCUCGAGCUGAACUUUUAUCUUAACGGAACAGAUUUACAUGUCCCUGUGACAGGUGUCAAAGGAGAAGUUUUUCCUGUUCUUUACGUUGAUGACGGAGCCAUCUUGGAUGCGGUGUUCUCUUCUUUCUUCCACACUCCACCCUUGGGCUUCGAGCAAAUCAUGGUGGAACAGUCUUUACUGUGAAAAACUCAUCUGUGUGCAGACCAUCACUGGCACCUCGUAGUGCACUCGUGUUAGUGUUGCUCCGCGGAGCGAACCUGCUGCCAUCUACGCCCGAGUGUGCAAAGUUCUCUGCCACUGAGCUGUCAUCACAAAGUCACUCUAUAGCCCAGCUCAUUCUUCAAUGCUUGCUAAAGCAUAUCACGUUUCAUGUGACAUACUUGCAGUCUUCUUUUUCUUUGCUGCCCAACUUAAAUAAGGGAUAGUAAAAGGCAUGCAUGUUGCAUGGAUAUAGGUAUAAGGCAAGCUAUGUGCUGAGCAUAUGAAAGUGUCAUGCAUGAUAAAAAAAGCAGCAAUUAGGUCAAAUAACUUAUGUGUAAAAGCAGAGAAUUCAUGUUGUACAUUCCCUCUCGAUUAUUACUGCUUGCUUAAGCCAGACGUUGCUUUCAAGGCUGUGUUGGAGGGCAAAGAGCAUGAAAAGCUUUCUUUUUGAUUGCAGCUGGCAUUCUUUCAGCUUGUACAGAGGCUGUUGGCUUUGUUUUGGGCAAUCCUAAUUUCGCCAGACAAUAGACAUUUCUCCAAUUAUUUAACCAGCUUUCAAAAGCAAUAUAUUCGCUGAAUUUUUGGAAAGAUGAGGAAUUUUCUUAUUGGCAAUGUGUAUGCAUGUACUGUUAAGAGGAAGCAUCACCGUGGGCACAAACAAAGGUUGUUAUAUAUGUGCCAUUGACCAGCUUCCAGCGCUUCUACGUUUUGUCCUUUGCCAUCCGACCACUACACGUCGUCUUCUGUUGAGCAUCUUCAGCAUGAAGUGUUUGCUCUGAAAAAGACAUUCACGAGUGCUGCAUUAUGCCACAGCUUACGUAACAUGCUACCUCUUAAAUUAAGGUUUUGUUAGUUGCUUUAUGGUUGAUCACAUUCAACCUCUUGCUGAGCUCGCCACAUCUGGGCCAAACACAUGGUCUGUCAACAGUUCUCGUGGAAGGAGACCUUUGGGGCACAUUAUCAUUAUUGCUUGCCAAGAAUAGUCUCACAAUUUGCUAGUAGCUGAUGCUGCAGCACUAAAUGCAGUUUGACAGGCCCACCAUUGGUGCCAAUCAGGUCUGUGUUCUCCACAAUCAAUUUUGCUUUAUAUGCUGCCCAUGUGGUGGUGCCUGCGGUAGCCUUGUUCUUUGUCAUAAAUGGCUGAUAAACCAUUUUGACUAGCACUACCCAUAACAGCAGAUCAAGCAUUACAUUUUUUUAGGUAGAGGAGGUGUGGCUUCUGCGACAACAUAUGCCACUGGAAACUGGUGAUGAGUAGUAGUUUAAUCUUUAAGCAGCGACUAAUGUCAGCAUUAGCUUACAAGAAUGCAAUGUGGUGAGUCUGUUGCUUGUAUAGGUGCAGGAGAACUUUCUGUACAUUGCUUGUAACAUAAUACAAUAAUUUAUACUAACAUGUGAACUGUGCCCAGGUAUCCUUAGUGGAUGCUUGGCUCUAGACAAGACUGGCGAUGUAAACGGAACGUGCGUACUGUUUGUGGUUGUUGCCAUUACUUACACACGCAAAAGUGCAACAAUGAUGUCCAUGUAUGCUGACUAGAGCCUUUAGUGUAUACAGGAUGCUUUUAGGAAGGUUUUUUUCAGUGCAGAUGAUACCGAAUAGGGGCUGGCACUAAUUUUGCGUUCAUUGCAUACUCAAUAUUACGAUAAGGGCAACAGGUACUUGAACACCUCAUCCGGCUGAACUGAUGGGCUGGCUUGUGCUCGCAAUGGUGGUAUUUUGUUUAACAGUCCACAUUUGGAUGCAAGAAUUGCACAUUUCAUCAAACUACAGAUGCACGUGUCUGCGGUAAUGCGAGGCCGCAAAACAGUGCGAAAGCUUCAUAAAACUUGGCAAUGCUUAAUUCUUUAUCGAGCACCACUGCCAAUGAUACACACUUAGUUAUUCUGGAAAGGACGUGUGCCGAAUAUAAAUGUGUUGUUGUCCAAAAUGCACAAAUGAGUUAGUGGUAUAGCUGAAAAAACCAUAUCUGCCGGCCUCCCUUACUGACACAUCAUUUUGCAUCUUGCACGCUUCUCUCUAUACAACAGAAGAGCUUUGCUAGGUGGAAUAAGAUACAGCAGUCGGUCUUCAAAGCAAGCACGCGUGCAAACAUGCAUGGCAGCAUUAGCCUCGAGUGAUUGCAUUGUUGAAAGCACAAAGCCUUUUUUCAAACAAUAAAAUGGUCAUUCUGUCAGCAGCUAUGCAGUGUCCAGUCCCAUUUUCAUGGUCGUGGCAAUAGCACAGGCUUCUUGUGGAC
Long non-coding RNA from Rhipicephalus sanguineus (brown dog tick), 2493 nucleotides. RefSeq lists it as uncharacterized. The record is from RefSeq and is a predicted model, not a curated record. The transcript is spliced from 2 exons. NCBI's taxonomy places the organism in Eukaryota, Metazoa, Arthropoda, Arachnida, Ixodida, Ixodidae.